Molecule: non-coding RNA, 117 nt
Organism: Spinacia oleracea (spinach)
Lineage: Eukaryota; Viridiplantae; Streptophyta; Magnoliopsida; Caryophyllales; Amaranthaceae
Source: Rfam
GAUGCGAUGAUGAGACAAAAACACCUGGAAGUGUUUACAGGCAGUGGACAAUAUCCAAUUUAUUGGGUAUUGCCGUGAGCUUUUCAAUUUAAACGACUUCUCCUUCCACUGAGCUCA